Molecule: ribosomal RNA, 772 nt
Filed under: uncultured Neocallimastigales
Lineage: Eukaryota; Fungi; Neocallimastigomycota; Neocallimastigomycetes; Neocallimastigales
Description: partial large subunit ribosomal RNA
Rfam family: Eukaryotic large subunit ribosomal RNA
Source: RNAcentral
GAGAUGUGUGAUGACGCAUAUCAAUAAGCGGAGGAAAAGAAACUAACAAGGAUUCCCUAGUAACGGCGAGUGAAGCGGGAAGAGCUCAAAUUUGAAUCUUCAAGGUUCUACCUUGACGAAUUGUAGUUUAUAGAAGUGUCUUCUGUUAGUAGAGUGGCAAAAGUUCUUUGGAAUAGGACAUCAUAGAGGGUGAGAAUCCCGUAUUUGGUCAUUCUUUCUAGCUUUGUGAUACACUUUCAACGAGUCGGAUUGUUUGGGAAUGCAGUCCAAAAUGGGUGGUAAAUUUCAUCUAAAGCUAAAUAUUGGCGAGAGACCGAUAGCGAACAAGUACCGCGAGGGAAAGAUGAAAAGAACUUUGAAAAGAGAGUUAAACAGUACGUGAAAUUGUCAAAAGGGAAGCGUUUGACACCAGUGUUGUUUUUCCGAAAAUCAAUUACGAAUGUUUUGUUUUUAAGAAGUUAUGACUUCAUCGGCUUGCUUCUUUCUUUAUGAAACUUUCUUAAUGCACUUUUCGGUUAACAAGUCAACAUCAAUUUCUUUUGUUGUAAAAGGGUAUGAGGAAGGUGGCCUUCUUUUCGGAGAAAGUGUUUUAUAGCCUUGUACCUCUGCAAUCGGAGAGAUUGAGGUCUGCAGCGUAGAUCCUUCGGGGUUAGAUACAUUUGUGCUAAGUUAUAGCUUUUCAUAGACAACUUGUUGACUAUGUUAAGUCUUGUAGCUUACUCGCUUAUGCUAUUUUACCUACGCUUAGGAUGUUGAAGAUGUAGCACAUCAU